CAUUCAGUUUAUAUGGCAGUGAAACAAGUUGUAAUACACAGCUGCUGUCAAUUGGUAUUUCCUGAGAUCACCUUAUAUAAAGUUUCAGAGGUCUGCAAUAGGUACGCUGCAGUUUUCAGAUGGCACACAACACCACUAUGACCGCAGCGAGAUGUACUUAUUUCGCGUUCUCAGGGAACCCUAAAAAGCCGGCUAACUGCACAUCAAUUACUGUUACACGGUUCAAAUCAUUGUUAGUUACUGUUGUGUUUUUAAUGUAGGUAUAAACCAUGAAGAUUCUCUGAAAAAUAUAGCAUGUGGCUUGAAUCACUGAGCGUGCAUAUCAUAAGACAGAAAAUACCGAUUUUCACAAGAACUUCUGAAGUACAAAUAACCAAAACUAUACGCCUAUUUAGCUUGUAGUACAUACGACAAUUGAACUAGUCCAUGGUGUUGUAAAUGAAACCUAAUAAAAAUAGAAACUGAACGUGCGUUACCGAUUGUUGAUGGAAAGCCUUUCCCGAGGCUUUCUCUCACAACGAAAACUGAUCAUAAGUUAUGUUCAAGAUACAAAAGGAAAGAUGUUCACUAUGCUGGACUCUAAUUUCACUUAGCACUUGGCAGUGCUGGACUUUGAAAGACUACAGUCCAGCUCUAAGAGAAAAUUCGUGAUAAGUUUUCUAUAGUUCCAAGUAAAUAUGUAAUGUAUAUAAUAUAUGUGUAUAUGUUAUAUGUAA
Molecule: long non-coding RNA, 716 nt
Organism: Helicoverpa zea (corn earworm)
Lineage: Eukaryota; Metazoa; Arthropoda; Insecta; Lepidoptera; Noctuidae
Exons: 2
Source: RefSeq, a predicted model, not a curated record